RNAcentral lists this ribosomal RNA (492 nucleotides) under uncultured bacterium. RNAcentral's name for it is "partial 16S ribosomal RNA". It matches the Rfam family "Bacterial small subunit ribosomal RNA", at positions 29 to 507 of the family's 1533-position model. The record is from RNAcentral.
AGUGAACGCUGGCGGUAGGCCUAACACAUGCAAGUCGAACGGCAGCACAGUAAGAGCUUGCUCUUACGGGUGGCGAGUGGCGGACGGGUGAGGAAUACAUCGGAAUCUACUUUUUCGUGGGGGAUAACGUAGGGAAACUUACGCUAAUACCGCAUACGACCUACGGGUGAAAGCAGGGGAUCUUCGGACCUUGCGCGAUUGAAUGAGCCGAUGUCGGAUUAGCUAGUUGGCGGGGUAAAGGCCCACCAAGGGGAGGAUCCGUAGCCGGCCUGAGUGGAGGAUCAGCCACACUGGAACUGAGACACGGUCCAUGGUCCUACGGGACGCAGCAGUGGGGAAUAUGGGACAAUAGUCGGAAGUCUGAUCCAGCCAUACCGCGUGUGUGAAGAAGGCCUUCGGGUUGUAAAGCCCUUUUGUUGGGAAAGAAAAGCAGCAGGUUAAUACCACGCUGUUCUGACGGUACCCAAAGAAUAAGCACCGGCUAACUUCGUG